CCGUGUUCCUCUCUCCCCACUUUGCCCUGUCCUUCCCUUGUUCUUCUCUUCCUUCCCUGUCCUUCUUUGGCUUUGCUACCUCUCUUCCCUUCCCAUUGUUUUUCCUCCCCCCUCCUAGGUUCUCACAUCGCUUUCCUGUUUCCCUCUCCUGCAAUAUGGAUUUGACAUAUUAAUCAUUACAGCAACUGCUAAAAUUCCACUGUGCUUCAUUAAUCCGGAGGAAAAUACCAUGUCAGCUGGAACUUACUGUGUCUCUGUUUGAUUGAGCCUGGGCAUGAGAUAAAACACGAGGUCAUCUGCAAUGGCACUGGUGCUGUGGCUGUAUCAGCAUGGCUCUGAUGUCCCUUCGGGGCAGGCAACAGUUCAGGGAGGACUUACAAGCAAGCUCUGGAACUUGAAGUCUCAAGAGAUGACAAAUAGUCAAUUCUCAAAAAAUGAAGAAAAGAAAAACUUGUUUCUUCAUGUUUGCUAACCCUAUCUAUAUCUAUGGUUUUGGCCAAUAAAUUCACUGUGUUUAAAUCC
This 522-nucleotide long non-coding RNA is filed under the name Homo sapiens (human). RNAcentral's name for it is "non-protein coding LINC01762:43". Lineage: Eukaryota; Metazoa; Chordata; Mammalia; Primates; Hominidae. The record is from RNAcentral.